CAGCCGCCGCGGUAAUACAGAGGAUGCAAGCGUUAUCCGGAAUCACUGGGCAUAAAGCGUCUGUAGGUUGCCUACCAAGUCUGCUGUUAAAGAUCAGGGCCUAACCCUGGGAAAGCAGUGGAAACUAGUAGGCUUGAGUGUGGUAGAGGUAGAGGGAAUUCCUGGUGUAGCGGUGGAAUGCGUAGAUAUUAGGAAGAACACCAAUGGCGAAAGCACUCUACUGGGCCAUAACUGACACUGAGAGACGGCAGCUAGGGGAGCAAAUGGGAUUAGAUACCCCAGUAGUCCUAGCCGUAAACGAUGGAUACUAGGUGUUGCACGUAUUAACCCGUGCAGUAUCGUAGCUAAGGCGUUAAGUAUCCCGCCUGGGAAGUACGCUCGCAAGAGUGAAACUCAAAUGAAUUGACGG
This 409-nucleotide ribosomal RNA is filed under the name bacterium enrichment culture clone LiUU-15-776. Its description in RNAcentral is "bacterial SSU rRNA". It matches the Rfam family "Bacterial small subunit ribosomal RNA", at positions 509 to 916 of the family's 1533-position model. The record is from RNAcentral.